RNAcentral lists this ribosomal RNA (467 nucleotides) under uncultured bacterium. Its description in RNAcentral is "bacterial SSU rRNA". It matches the Rfam family "Bacterial small subunit ribosomal RNA", at positions 329 to 793 of the family's 1533-position model. The record is from RNAcentral.
GGCCAGACUCCUACGGGAGGCAGCAGUGAGGAAUAUUGGUCAAUGGGCGGAAGCCUGAACCAGCCAAGUCGCGUGAGGGAAGAAGGCCCUGCGGGUCGCAGACCUCUUUGGACGGGGAGCAAGGCCGCCGACGUGUCGGCGGAAGGAGAGUACCCGUAGAACAAGCAUCGGCUAACUCCGUGCCAGCAGCCGCGGUAAUACGGAGGAUGCGAGCGUUAUCCGGAUUUAUUGGGUUUAAAGGGGGCGCAGGCGGCACGGCAAGCCGGCGGUCAAGUCGCGGGGCUCACCCCCGGCGAGCCGUUGAAACUGGCGGGCUGGAGUUGGAGAGAAGUACGCGGAAUGCGCGGUGUAGCGGUGAAAUGCUUAGAUAUCGCGCAGAACCCCGAUUGCGAAGGCAGCGUACCGGCUCCACACUGACGCUGAGGCACGAAAGCGUGGGUAUCGAACAGGAUUAGAUACCCCAGUAC